This 330-nucleotide long non-coding RNA is filed under the name Gallus gallus (chicken). Its description in RNAcentral is "long non-coding RNA NONGGAT003561". Lineage: Eukaryota; Metazoa; Chordata; Aves; Galliformes; Phasianidae. The record is from RNAcentral.
GGUAUCUGGGAUAGAUCACAGCAGAGUGUAAGGGCAGAGUGCAGCCACUUAUGCAAAGCUGUGCCACGGUCAUCGCCAGCCUGGAGUUGGAAGCUGCUCAGUCAGCAGCAGCCUCCUCCCGUGGCACCGGGAGGCUGCAGCCCGCAGCGUGCUCAGCGAGCCCUGGAGCAGUAGGGAGUACAAGGAUGGACACGGGGAUUUUGCUAUGGCCAAGCAGUAGGGACGGUUGGUGUGAUGCACCUCAUCUGAAGGGACAGGUAGGACGGUGCAGCUUUCCUUAUGUUUUUUUCCCUUCCUACUCACUGCUCUGGGUUCUUCUCUGUGCGAUGC